Molecule: ribosomal RNA, 1802 nt
Filed under: Pinus taeda (loblolly pine)
Lineage: Eukaryota; Viridiplantae; Streptophyta; Pinopsida; Pinales; Pinaceae
Description: SSU rRNA
Rfam family: Eukaryotic small subunit ribosomal RNA
Source: RNAcentral
UCUGUUUGAUCCUAUCAGUAGUCAUAUGCUUGUCUCAAAGAUUAAGCCAUGCAUGUCUAAGUAUGAACUAAUUUAGACUGUGAAACUACGGAUGGCUCAUUAAAUCAGUUAUAGUUUUUUUUAUGGUAUCAUACUAUUCAGAUAAUCGUAGUAAUUCUAGAGAUAAUACAUGAACCAAGUCCCGACUCUUUGGAAGGGAUGCAUUUUUUAGAUAAAAGGUCGGCGCGGGCUUGCCCGCUUCUCUGGUGAAUCAUGAUAACUCGAUAGAUCGCACAACCCUUGUGCUGGCGAUGCUUCAUUCAAACUUCUUCCCUAUCAACUUUCGAUGGUAGGAUAGAGGCCUACCAUGGUGGUGAUAGGUGACGAGGAAUUAGGGUUUGAUUCCAGGGAGGGAGUCUGAGAAACGACUACCACAUCCAAGGAAGGAAGCAGGUGCGCAAAUUAACCAAUACUGAAAUGGGGAGGUAGUGACAAUAAAUAACAAUACUGGGCUCAUCGAGUCUGGUAAUUGGAAUGAGUACAAUCUAAACCCCUUAAUGAGGAUCCAUUGGAGGGCAAGUCUGGUGCCAGCAGCCGCGGUAAUUCCAGCUCCAAUAGCGUAUAUUUAAGUUGUUGUAGUUAAAAAUCUCGUAGUUGGAUCUUGGGUCGUAAAGGUCAGUCCACCUACUUGGUGUGCACCUACCCUUCCGUCCCUUUUGUCGGGGGCGUGCUCCUAGCCUUAAUUGGCUGGGUCACAGCUCCGACACUAUUACUUUGAAAAAAUUAGAGUGCGCAAAGCAAGAUUAUGCUUUGAAUACAUUAGCAUGGAAUAACAUGAUAGGAGUCUGGUCCUAUUGUGUUGGCCUUUGGGACUAGAGUAACGAUAAAUAGGGAUUGUUGGGGGCAUUUGUAUUUAAUUGUCAGAGGUGAAAUUCUUGGAUUUAUGAAAGGAAGACCACUAUGAAAGCAUUUUCCAAUGAUGUUUUCAUUAAUCAAGAACGAAAGUUGGGGGCUCGAAGACGAUCAUAACCAUCCUAGUCUCAACCAUAAAUGAUGUCGACUAGGGAUCGGUGGAUGUUGCUCUAAGGACUCCGCUAGCACCUUCUGAGAAAUCAAAGUGUUUGGGUUCUAGGGGGAGUAUGGUUGUAAGGCUGAAACUUAAAGGAAUUGACGGAAGGGCACCACCAGGAGUGGAGCCUGCGGCUUAAUUUGACUCAACACGGGGAAACUUACCAGGCCUAGGCAUAGUAAGGAUUGAUAUAUUGAGAGCUCUUUCUUCAUUCUAUGUGUGGUGGUGCAUGGCCGUUCUUAGUUGGUGGAGCGAUUUUUCUGGUUAAUUCCGAUAACGAACAAGAUCUCAGCCUGUUAACUACCUACGCAGAGGUUCCCCUUCGCAGCCAGCUUCUUAGAGGGACUAUGGCCAUUUAGGCCAUGGAAUUUUGAGGCAAUAACAAGUCUGUGAUGCCCUUAGAUGUUCUAGGCUACACGCGUCUUACACUGAUGCAGCCAACGAGUUUUUCUUCCUGAUUCGAGAGGAUCGGGAAAUCUUCUCAAAUGGCAUCGUGAUGGGGAUAGACCAUUGCAAUUAUUGGUCUUCAACAAGGAAUUCCUAGUAAGCAUGUGUCAUCAAGUCAUGUUGACUACAUCCCUACCCUUUGUACACACCACAUGUCUCUCCUACCGAUUGAAUGAUCUGGUGAAGUGUUCGGAUUGCGUCGACGAUGGUGGUUUGCUGUCGUCGACAUCAUGAGAAGUUCAUUGAACCUUAUCAUUUAGAGGAAGGAGAAGUCGUAACAAGGUUACCGUAGGUGAACCUGCGGUAG